AAGGGUUUGAGUAUGAGGAAAAAGGUGAUUUUGCAACCUCACCAAAGCAUUUCAGGUAAGAACCAUAUCCUUGAAUUGCCCUUUUGGACCAAAAUUAAGCCUUUUGUGUGAUGGUUUAUCAUAUGAUUGGGUUCUAUGUUUGAGCUUAUGGAUUGGUUCACGGUGGAUUUGAAUUGGCACGCAGAGUUGCUUGGGUGAAGCUGAUGACUGUGUGCAUUGCAGGACUAUAACAAAAUGGUGCAACUACAUCUAUUCGUGGACUUUGAAAUAGAAACGAGGUUUGCAUCUUUGAAUCGCCUCCACAGUAUUUCAAUUUCUUUCCCUUUUAUUAAUUUUGAUUGUAUUUCUCCCCUGUGAUGGGAUUGAACAUGGUAAUGGCAGGUGACUGUUUGUGCGUGAAUAAAGGCUUGCCAUUGCCCUUGCUGCUGUUGUGGGACAGAGCCAGU
RNAcentral lists this long non-coding RNA (446 nucleotides) under Prunus persica (peach). RNAcentral's name for it is "long non-coding RNA (PPER_LNC000884)". The record is from RNAcentral. Lineage: Eukaryota; Viridiplantae; Streptophyta; Magnoliopsida; Rosales; Rosaceae.